GAUGAACGCUGGCGGCGUGCCUAAUACAUGCAGGUCGAGCGAACGGACGAGAAGCUUGCUUCUCUGAUGUUAGCGGCGGACGGGUGAGUAACACGUGGAUAACCUACCUAUAAGACUGGGAUAACUUCGGGAAACCGGAGCUAAUACCGGAUAAUAUUUUGAACCGCAUGGUUCAAAAGUGAAAGACGGUCUUGCUGUCACUUAUAGAUGGAUCCGCGCUGCAUUAGCUAGUUGGUAAGGUAACGGCUUACCAAGGCAACGAUGCAUAGCCGACCUGAGAGGGGGAUCGGCCACACUGGAACUGAGACACGGUCCAGACUCCUACGGGAGGCAGCAGAAGGGAAUCUUCCGCAAUGGGCGAAAGCCUGACGGAGCAACGCCGCGUGAGUGAUGAAGGUCUUCGGAUCGUAAAACUCUGUUAUUAGGGAAGAACAUAUGUGUAAGUAACUGUGCACAUCUUGACGGUACCUAAUCAGAAAGCCACGGCUAACUACGUG
RNAcentral lists this ribosomal RNA (497 nucleotides) under uncultured bacterium. Its description in RNAcentral is "partial 16S ribosomal RNA". It matches the Rfam family "Bacterial small subunit ribosomal RNA", at positions 28 to 507 of the family's 1533-position model. The record is from RNAcentral.